This 72-nucleotide transfer RNA is filed under the name Phrynosoma platyrhinos (Desert horned lizard). RNAcentral's name for it is "tRNA-OTHER". Lineage: Eukaryota; Metazoa; Chordata; Lepidosauria; Squamata; Phrynosomatidae. The record is from RNAcentral.
AGGAAGGUGGUAUAGGGGUUUGAGCAUUGGACUUCGACUCUGGAGACCAAGGUUCGAAUCCCUGCUUGGCCA